AUGCUACAUACAUAUAAAUACGUAUUGAUUUCUACUAAUCAUGUAGCAGACGAUAUGACACACCGACCAAGUCGGCUGUCAUGCUCGUUUAAGUGUGGGUAUAUAAUUCGCUUCCAAUUGAUUUCUCAGUUCAGUUUACCAAAGUAAUUGCAAUUGCCGGUGUGUUACCGGUAUUACUUGUAAUAUAAUUCAUUAUGGAUCAGAGUAAGAAUAUACCUUUUUCUCGGAGCGGUGAUAAGGAAGAGGAUAAGAUACUGUUGGAACCAUUUACCUAUAUUCUCCAAGUUCCUGGAAAACAAAUUAGAGCCAAGUUGGCACAUGCCUUUAAUUAUUGGUUAAAAAUAUCACAAGAUAAACUGCGUGCAGUUGGAGACAUAGUACAAAUACUUCAUACUUCUAGUUUAUUAAUUGAUGAUAUUCAAGAUAAUUCAGUUUUAAGAAGGGGUAUCCCAGUAGCUCAUAAUAUUUAUGGGACAGCCAGUACAAUAAAUGCUGCAAAUUAUGUAAUAUUUAUUGCAUUAGAAAGAGUACUUGCUUUAAAUCAUCCAGAGGCUACUCAAGUAUAUGUAGAACAAUUAUUGGAACUCCAUAGGGGACAAGGUAUGGAAAUUUAUUGGAGAGAUAAUUAUAUAUGCCCAUCUGAAUCUGCAUAUAAGCAGAUGACAAUUCGAAAGACAGGUGGACUUUUUAAUUUAGCUGUGCGAUUAAUGCAAUUAUUUUCUGAUUGCAAAGAAGACUAUACUGCUUUAGCAGGAAUUUUAGGACUCUAUUUUCAAAUUCGAGAUGAUUAUUGUAAUUUAUAUCUUCAAGAGUAUGCAGAAAAUAAAAGUUACUGUGAAGAUCUGUCUGAAGGAAAAUUUAGUUUUCCUAUUAUCCAUGCUGUACAAAGUCAUUUAGAAGAUAGACAAAUAAUGAAUAUACUAAGACAACGGACUAAGGAUAUUGAAGUAAAACGGUACUGCGUAAAUUUACUAGAAAAAUUUGGAUCUUUUGCUUAUACAAGAAAUGUACUUGAAGAACUAGAUAAAAAAGCUAGGGAUGAAGUCCAACGUUUAGGUGGAAAUCCUUUACUAGUUGAAGUUUUAGAUGAACUAAUGAACUGGAAACAUCAAGAUAGUCAACAACAGAUUAGAAAAACUGCAGUUUAAACUCCACUGCUCUUUUUUAAGUCUCAGAAACAUGCCAAAAGUGACCAGCAUAUCAAAACAUUACAACAUAUAUAACGGAACAGAUUCUUAGAAGAAGUCAUUGUACAUCAUAGAAAUUAUUUAAAAAUUUAUAAAAGGAAAGUGAACGAGUCAACAUGUGUUUCUAAACAAAAUUUUACUAUUACCCUAACAAAAAUUUUGUUGAAGUUCACAUGUUUGUUACCAUUAAUAAAGAAUAUGUCAUAUUGAUGCAUCAACAAUAAUAUAGUAGUUGUUGAAUACAAAUAGUGAUGAGAAACAGUAUACUAAAAAGUUACUAUCAAAACUAUUACAAAUCUUCAUAGAUCUCUCAAUAUUGCAUUUUCAAUAUGCAAAUCUUGACUAUAUAGUCUUGCAUUAUUUAAAUUAAUUCUUAAACUGUAAAUCACUGAGACAGUGACAGAAACAGUACAGCAAAGCUGACCCAAUGUACAAGUUAGACUAUUCCAUUAGAUAUUAUUUUUUCAAUACAUAAAUGUUCCUUUGAGAACCUAGGUACACAGUAAUCUAAACAUUGUUAUAUAUUGAAUAAAUGUUUUACAAAACUGA
This 1736-nucleotide unclassified non-coding RNA is filed under the name Megachile rotundata (alfalfa leafcutting bee). Its description in RNAcentral is "geranylgeranyl pyrophosphate synthase, transcript variant X2". The record is from RNAcentral. Lineage: Eukaryota; Metazoa; Arthropoda; Insecta; Hymenoptera; Megachilidae.